RNAcentral lists this long non-coding RNA (2378 nucleotides) under Marmota monax (woodchuck). The record is from RNAcentral. Lineage: Eukaryota; Metazoa; Chordata; Mammalia; Rodentia; Sciuridae.
CAGCCCUGGGUAAGUCUUUAUUGAAUGGGUGAACAAGUUUUCUCAAACCCAAACCCUUAGAUCUGGUGGUUUCAGGCAUGAUGCAUGGACAGCCUCCCCUACUGGUAGUGUGUGGCAUUGCAGUUCAUUUCUACUGGACCACAGGAAGCAUCACCCAGUGCACUAAAGGAAAACGGUGCCUGUAGGCUGGAGGUCCACCAACUCAAUGUUUUAGGCUAUGUGGGUCAUAUGAUCUCUAUCACAACUGUUCGACUCUGUCACUCUAGCGUGAAGGCAGCUGUUAGCACACAUAAGCAAAUAAGUAUGUUUGUGUUUCCAUGAAACUGUGUUUAUGAACACUGAAAUUUGAAUUUCAUAUCAUGGUACAUGUAACAAAAACAUUUUAUUUUUUUUCCUCACCAUUAAAAAAUAUUAAAGCCACUCUUGGCUUGUAAGCCAUAUAAAACAGAUGGUGGACCAUCUUUGGCCUAUGAGUUGUGGUUUGCUGGACACUGCUAUUGACAAUCUCCAAGUGACCCAAAGUAUGGGAGAAGAAUUCAAUUUCCAGGGCAAAUAGCCACAAGACUAUCCAUUUUUAAGGAAGUAUUAUUCAUAAUGUGAGUUGAUGAAUAUUCAUAGUGAUUUCUGCAUUCCAGGCACUUUUAUAGCCAAUGCAUGGGUGGAAAGUGUCAGGCAGGGGCCAAGUGAAAAGAACUAGUCCUUAAAAUCAGAAUGCCAAAUGCAGUAACCGAUUCAUGCUUCCUCCCUGCGAGAAAGAGACAGCAAUCGUGUGCGGGAUCAGAGGCAUGCCAUCCCAGGUGGGGGACACACAGGAAUCAGACUGAUGGGGUGCUGAAAAGGGAAAGAUUGUGAGUUUAUUCCUUAAUAGGUCAAUUUUUUUGGAGGGGUGGGUGGCUAAUGGGGAUUGAAUUCAGGGGCACUCAACCACUGAGCCACAUCCCCAGCCCUAUUUUGUAUUUUAUUUAGAGACAGUGUCUCACUGAGUUGCUUAGUGCCUCACUUUUGCUGAGGCUGGUGUGGAACUCAUGAUCUUCCUGCCUCAGCCUCCUGAGCUGAUAGGAUUACAGGCAUGUGCCACAGUGCCCAGCUGCCAAUUAGCUUUGCUGGAUCUCAUGGUUGAAGUCUGUGCCCUUGGACAGAGAGUUAUUGUAUGAGUCAGGGUUCUCCAGAAACAAACAAACAAACAAAAAACCCAAAAGGAUAUGUAUUAAUUAUAAGGAAAUGGCUCACAUGGUUGUGGAGGCUAAGCUAAGUCCCAUGAUCUGCUGUCAAUAAGCUGGAGAUCCAGGAAAGCUGGUGACAAAAAUUCCAAAUCCAAGUCCAAAGGUCUGGGAACCAGAAGAGCUGAUACUGUAAUUCUAUCCAAGGAUAGAAGAUGAAUGUCCCAGAUCAAGCAGUCAGGCAGAGAGAGUAACUCAACCUUUUUCUACUUCUGUUCUAUUCAGGCCGUCAAUGGAUUGGAUGAUGCCCAGCUACACUGGAAAGAACAUGCUGCUUUACUGAGACCAAUUCAAAUGCUAAUUUCUUCCACAUAUACCCUCACAUACAGAGAUACUGUUUAACAAGCUAUCUGGGCAUCCCAUAGCCCAGUCAAGUUGACACCUAAAAUUAACCCUUGCAGGUACAAGUAAAAACCUAGUGCCUUUCUGACCACAGGGGAGGCAAGCCAAUUUAGGAAUCCAAAUCAGAUAGUGUUCAUGUCUCUGGAUAUGAUGCUUAUUUGUAUCAACUUGCAUAUUUAGUGUGUGUGUGUGUGUUUUGAGAACAUUUAAGAUCUACUCUCUUGGCAAAGGUAAUUUUGAUUUUAUAAAAAUGCAAAAAUGGCUCAAAAUCAUUUGGGGAAAAAAGAAAAAAAAAGAUAAGUACAAGCUCCCCUACAUCUUUGCCGCCUCCCUUUGCUCUUUAUAUCGACUUCUUGUUCUUAGUGCUGCUUUAAUUUUAGCCCCCUUUUAAAAGAAAAUUAUUAUUUUGCACAUUGAUCAGAUCCUUGGGAGUGAAAGAAAAAAAGAGCCCCAAACUCACAUGUAACCUCUUCCCCUCCAUUCUCAGGAGAAAAAGACCUCAAAGCAGAAAAACAAAUAAUAAUAAAGUUAACAAAAGAAAGAUAAUCAAAAUAAUCCAUGUCCUCACCAUCAAGUAUCAUUGUUAAAAAGUUUUUCCUCCCACAUUUUAAAAAUCAAAGAGUGUCUUACUAUAUACCACCUCUGAUAUUUGAUUAUUCCGUUUGUUAAUAUCUCUCUGACACAUCUUCCUAUGCUAACAAAUACAAAUCCGCAUAGUAGCUUUUAAUGUUGCUGUAUGUCACACACACACACACACACACACACACACCCCUUUGUAUUAAAACCAUUUCCUCCUUGGUGUACACUGAGGUCAUU